Molecule: non-coding RNA, 363 nt
Organism: Paramuricea clavata
Lineage: Eukaryota; Metazoa; Cnidaria; Anthozoa; Malacalcyonacea; Plexauridae
Source: the annotation of a GenBank genome assembly
GGUCUUUGGAACUUUAUAAGUAGAAAAUUUGAAUAAAUAUCACUUUGAAUGUUUGCUCUCGAAGGAUUGAACUUGGCGCUUGGUCUUUGUGUGAACCAGAUCGAAUUACUACAACACGUGAUAUAUUCUAAGCAUGCUAAUUGGUUAAAACUCUGCAACUUCCACUUGUCGAAAAUUAUAUUCAGCAGAAUUCAGCAGCAGAACAUUCCACACGUUCAAAUUACAGAUUUAGGCCAGCAAAUAAAUAAUAUAGAUGACUCGCCGACAAUUUCUGGCUACAUUCGAUCGCCGCGUGCGAUUGAAGCCGAUAUACGGUAUAAUACAUCAAUGGCAUCAACCUGACUUGGCAACAUUCGAGUAACC